UUUACUAGUUAAAGACCGAUAAGACUAGAGGGAAUAUUGACAAAUUAGCACACUGUUGCAACCUCUACUUAGUAUUCAAUCCCUACUUAUGUUCUAUUCGCUGAGCGCAAAAUUCUAAAAUUUCGCUGUUGCGCAUAAAUGCUUUGCAGUCCAACCCGCAGCUUAAGCGCACAACAAACUUGUCAAUCGCCGGCCAGUCGGUGUGCUACUGAGUGUGUGGCAGAACUUGCUCAGAUUGUCGGAAGUGUGAUUGUGUAAUUUAUUAACAAAUAAAUAAACAGGAACGCAUAACAAUGCGACAAUGCAAAGUUGCCUUCAGAAACCUUAUUCAUCGGUGCAAGAGCAUUACGACUAGACCUUUGUGCUGUGGCGUUGAGCUUCUGGGUAAGCAACAGCUGAUCCUGCCUUUAUAUACCUGCACCACUUCCAGCCCCAGGAACUACUCUAAGUUUAGCACCCACAUAACUACGGAGCGUGCGAUGAAUCUGCUAUGCAACCUGGACGAAGAGGAGCGCAGCAAUCUGCGUUCCGCACUUGAUAAAAUAGACGCCGACAAGGAAAAGAAGUUGUACGAGAGCGCCGUAGAUUUCGGCGGUCCACUGUGGUCAUCUGACACACGAGUCGUCAAUUUCGAGAGCCAGCUUGAACUUCGCCGGAUCGUUACACGUGUACUGCUUUGCUUUCUCAAGCCCGACCUCUGUAUCCAGAUUACCGUUGGCGCCAAGCAGCCCAAAGCUCUUCAUCACGCAUGCACGAAGGCAAUUGCCAGCAUAGGUAGCGGUGGGCUGCGUUUUGAUUAACUCCUGCAUGUCAGCGUCGACGGCAUUCACUUCAGUCAUACAGGAUUCCCGUUUUCGUCGAAACCGAGCACCAGGGCGGUGCCAAGGAGAAUAAUUGCCACAAGAAUAAAAGAGGAACAUUGAUGUUGGCCUGAUGUGCACGGACUGAACUUGUGCAAUCGACCGUUCUUGGGUUUUUCCAAUUAAUAGAAAAGCUAACGAAAUCAAGCGCCCCACAAGACACGAACGCCCAGACCUCUACGACACGGCCGGGGUUUCAACAUCAUCCCACAACGAUUGGUUAAUAUAAUACAAAAAAAAAAUGGGUCAAUCAAAAACGAUAUUUUCCAAAACGAUCUUAUUCAGGCGUGUCACAGAAAUCUCCUUCAUCCAACUUUCACCAAAACAGCAGUGUCUAAGAAACCGUUUCAAAAUUAAGUUAAUAUCAAAAUAAAAAGUUGGCUUUGCCAAAAGUUUUCCAAAACUAUACAGAUUCUGUAACACCAAAUUGUCAAAACAACCGUCCGUUAACCACAAAACUUCAAAAAUCGUCUGUACGAACGGAUACUAAAGCUAUGGUUUUGGCAUAAAGCAUGUAGAUUCUAGAGUUCAUUUCCGAAAGGUGCCACGCCCACUCUAACACCCACAAACCGCCAAGAACUGUGGAGCCCACAUUUAAAAAGAUUAAAAUGUAAAAUAAAUUUUCUUCUAUUCCGCUUCUCAACCCCUACCGCCACGCCGAGUAUUGUUAAAUUAUAAUUUACUAGUUAGUAAUGAUUUUACGCCCGUAUUUAACAAGAACAUCGUCUUUGACGUCGCAGCUAAUAGAUAAACGCGAAAGGUGUAAAAUUUUAUGUAGAUAAAAUGUAAAAAGUAUACUUAUUUUUAGCUGAGUAACGGGUAUUGGGCGGUUUGUGGGCGUUUGAUUGGGCGUGCCAACAUUUUUUUCGGAAAAAUAAAAAAGAUAUUAAAGACAGCAAUGCAUUUCAGCGUCUUAACACUCCUUUAAAGUCCCCAACACAAUAUCAUGCAGACCAACAUUUUUAUUUUGAGAAACUAACUUUUGAAAAGACCAUCGGGUUUAACAAAUGAUUUGUCAUUUGACUCGUUUUUUUCAUUAAAAUGUAAAGUAAGCUCAGAGACUAUCAUAUUGUGCCCCAUUAGUAGCUUCUUACCGCUCUUUCCCCUAGUCAUUCAAAUAAAAUGAAUUCUUGGAAUGCAGUUCUUUUAAUUUUUGCAAUACCUUUCGGUUGUUGUAUCAUUCGUUAUUACCGGACCAUCACAGCAGACUUUCAUAUUUUUGUGUAUAAUUUAAUAUAAAUAUGAAUAAAGGAAUUCAUAAGCAUUUAUUGAUGUGGUAGCCAGAAAUUGGACCGAAGGUGCCAAACUUAAAUGAAAGCAAUUUCUAAAUGACAAAAAAGCAGGGACCGUAAUCAUUAUGAGUUUUAUUGUAAAACU
Molecule: non-coding RNA, 2237 nt
Organism: Drosophila suzukii
Lineage: Eukaryota; Metazoa; Arthropoda; Insecta; Diptera; Drosophilidae
Source: RefSeq, a predicted model, not a curated record